Molecule: ribosomal RNA, 253 nt
Filed under: uncultured bacterium
Lineage: Bacteria
Description: partial 16S ribosomal RNA
Rfam family: Bacterial small subunit ribosomal RNA
Source: RNAcentral
UACGGAGGGAGCUAGCGUUGUUCGGAAUUACUGGGCGUAAAGGGCGCGUAGGCGGCCUGCUAAGUCGAACGUGAAAUCCCUGGGCUCAACCCAGGAACUGCGUCCGAUACUGGUUGGCUUGAAUCCGGGAGAGGGACGUGGAAUUCCAGGUGUAGCGGUGAAAUGCGUAGAUAUCUGGAGGAACACCGGUGGCGAAGGCGACGUCCUGGACCGGCAUUGACGCUGAGGCGCGAAAGCCAGGGGAGCAAACGGG